RNAcentral lists this long non-coding RNA (1222 nucleotides) under Equus caballus (horse). Its description in RNAcentral is "lncRNA (ENSECAG00000056244.1)". The record is from RNAcentral. Lineage: Eukaryota; Metazoa; Chordata; Mammalia; Perissodactyla; Equidae.
UUUAAAAGUGUAAUUGAUGGGGAGAGGAAUCAGAACAGAAUCUACAAAGCUGAAUUAAUAUAGAGGUUCUCUGAUCAGUUAUAGUUAUUUCUUUCAUUCAGCAUGUUCAACAAAAAACAAACCCAGACUUAGGAGAGACUUUGCUCAAAAGGACUUUAUUCAAGGGGAGAAAGGGGCUGUUGCAACAGGGAGAAGGCUCUGAGUAUAAGGCCUGCAAGUGUGUCAGGAGUUAGGCAGGAGGAGUUUUUCUUUUAUGGAGAGGAGUAAACAAGGCUAGAAAGAACCAGGUGUGGGGAAGUGGGGUGAAAGGUGGCAGGAUUGGAUCAUAAAUCCAAAAUGGUUCCACCUCUUCUCAAGAGGGACUGGAUGCUGGCUCGGGCCACGGGGCGCCAAAGUUCAUUCAGGGGCCUGGAGGAGGGAGAGAGGCUUCUUGGAAGUUUGGUUAACAAGCAUUCUGUUCCAAUUGAUCAGUGGGGACCAGAGGCUCUGCUAAUCAUUUAUGAGGCAAAGAAAGGGAAUUUAGAGGGUCUGCAUCUGGCCUUGUUAUAAGUAAACAAGGCGGGCGUCCAUGAGUCUUGUCUAAGUCAUUUGGGGAAGGAAAGGUGGUUCUUUGUAAUGUCAUUUUCUAGAACCCAAAAAGAGUGGGGGCUGGAGGGUAGUCCUUAACCUUCACUGUUUUCCAGGAGCACAGGGCUUGGGUAAAGUUCAACACUGUCAAGCUUACAUCUAUGGAUCUCCUUCCGUGUGUCCAGCCCUGGCGAGUGAAGUGAUGUGAUGGCUACAGCACAUGCAGUCAUCUUGGACCAUGAGGCAACAUUGACCAUAGAAUCCAUGUGCUAAGGAUGGCAAAGCAGAAAAAUGGAAAGAAAGGCCACGUGAGGACGCAGUGCGAAGGUGGCCAUCUGCAAGCCAGGAAGAGAGCCCUUACCAGAAUCUGAACCCUGACCUGGCACUUUCAGGCUCCAGAACUGUGAGAAUCUACAAUUAUUUGGACACUUAUCGCUUGACAAAGGAUAUCCAGACAGCAUCUCAGGACGUCUGAGACACCCACGCGACUAUACAUCGGAAGGCGGACGGACUUUCCUCCGGGAGGAUGUGGAAAUAGGUGAAAACUCUCCGACCCCGACGGGCAGCCUAGUACCCGCAAGUGGCUUUCUUCCAACGGACGCCCCCAGAGGAUCCACACACAUCUAGGGCAGGAGCGAGAACACAACAGAGGAGC